GCCGGCUUAGCUCAGCAGGUAGAGCAGAUGAUUUGUAAUCAUCAGGUCACCAGUUCGAUUCCGGUAGCCUGGCACCA
Molecule: transfer RNA, 77 nt
Filed under: Escherichia coli
Lineage: Bacteria; Pseudomonadati; Pseudomonadota; Gammaproteobacteria; Enterobacterales; Enterobacteriaceae
Description: tRNA-Thr
Rfam family: tRNA
About the family: Transfer RNA (tRNA) molecules are approximately 80 nucleotides in length. Their secondary structure includes four short double-helical elements and three loops (D, anti-codon, and T loops). Further hydrogen bonds mediate the characteristic L-shaped molecular structure. tRNAs have two regions of fundamental functional importance: the anti-codon, which is responsible for specific mRNA codon recognition, and the 3' end, to which the tRNAs corresponding amino acid is attached (by aminoacyl-tRNA synthetases). tRNAs cope with the degeneracy of the genetic code in two manners: having more than one tRNA (with a specific anti-codon) for a particular amino acid; and 'wobble' base-pairing, i.e. permitting non-standard base-pairing at the 3rd anti-codon position.
Source: RNAcentral